RNAcentral lists this ribosomal RNA (477 nucleotides) under uncultured bacterium. RNAcentral describes it as "bacterial SSU rRNA". It matches the Rfam family "Bacterial small subunit ribosomal RNA", at positions 453 to 928 of the family's 1533-position model. The record is from RNAcentral.
CUCCUUUGUGAAGGAGCUUGACGGUACCGUACGAAUAAGGAUCGGCUAACUCCGUGCCAGCAGCCGCGGUAAUACGGAGGAUCCAAGCGUUAUCCGGAAUCAUUGGGUUUAAAGGGUCCGUAGGCGGGAUAAUCAGUCAGUGGUGAAAGUCUGCAGCUCAACUGUAGAAUUGCCAUUGAUACUGUUAUCCUUGAGUAAUUAUGAAGUGGUUAGAAUAUGUAGUGUAGCGGUGAAAUGCAUAGAUAUUACAUAGAAUACCGAUUGCGAAGGCAGAUCACUAAUAAUUUACUGACGCUGAUGGACGAAAGCGUAGGUAGCGAACAGGAUUAGAUACCCUGGUAGUCUACGCCGUAAACGAUGGUUACUAGCUGUUUGGCUCGAUUGAGAGCUGAGUGGCUAAGCGAAAGUGAUAAGUAACCCACCUGGGGAGUACGUUCGCAAGAAUGAAACUCAAAUGAAUUGACGGAGCGCCGUCAA